GUGGCUGCAGAAGCUGAACUGCAUAGAGCCUCACGGAUUUGUGAAUUAGGAACUUGCAAGGCAGCAGCAGCCAGAAGACAAUUCUUCAUCUGGAAAUCGAAUGACGGAGGAAGAGGUAUUCACCUGCUGAGUCCGACACACUCCCCUCCCGGAGAUCUGCAGGGACCCAGAGCCUGAGACCUUCUCCCACUUCUCCAGGUGGGCAGCCUACCAUGAGGGGGAGAGCCAGCUGAGCACAUCAGGACGUCUGGAUUUGGCCAGAAGACCGGACCUCUCCCCCUGUCAGGACUUCUCAGAGGUAACUUUGAAUCUGGAAAAUGAAAGCUUGAAAACCUCCAUCUUUGUCUUCUUGGUGGACUCCCAGGCCUUUGUUGGGAAAGACCCCCAGCCCACCUGGGUGGGUUUUUCUGUACCUCUUGAACCCCACCAUGUAUGCAGAUGCCUAGUUCGUGUCUCCUGAAUGAAUUUUAAGGAUGAGCCUCAACGUGUCAUGUUAAGCAAUUGUAGUAAUUAAUAUCUUACAAAGAUUUCCACAGGGGUCCUCAUUUGUUGCACAUAACAACAAGUUAAUAUCCUGAGUCUCGUUCUGUCAACCAAGAAAGAGGUUUAGAAGAUUCAUAUGUUGUCCCCAGGGUCUCAGUGUCUCUUUAAUUCAUCCAGAAUGUGUGGAUCGAGCAUCUGCAUUGUGUCAGGUGCUCUUCUAACUCCGAACACGGCGAAUGCUGCCGACACCAACUUCUGCCGCCAGGGAGAUUCUGGGUUAGAGGGGGUGUGUGUGUGGAGGAGGGGGGUGGGGACGGGCCCUGAGACACAGGGCCCCCCCUCCACAGUGUGGAGAAGUGAGGGACGUUUCAUUUCCAGGCAUGAGUGUUGUGGAGACAACAAAAAACAACCCAGUCUAGAGGGAUGGAGUCUUAAACGGAGGGUUCCGGGAGGUCUCAUUAAAAAACUGACGUUCGAACGUGGGUUUCAGGACCUGUGGGAACUAGUCGUUAAGCGUCUGGGAGAAGAGAGUUGCAAUUGGAGGAAAAAGUGAGUGUGAAAGCCCAGCACCCAAUCUGUGCACCCCACGCAUUGGAGGAACACGGCGAGGCAGGGUGGCUGAGGGGGGCCAGCGGAGAGCUGUGAGUCUGGGGGCGGGGGCAGGGGUGGAGUCAGGAGGUCACGGAAACCUGACCAUGUUUAGCCUUGUGGGCUACUGGGGGGACUGCUGGGUGUGGUGGUGGGAAAUCCGUGCAGGGUUUUAAGCAGAUGAGGGACAGGAUCCAUUUGUGAUGCGCAUGCUGGCGUCAGUGUUGAUAGAACGCAGGGCAGGGACGGCGGUGGACCAGCAGACCAUCAGAGGUCGCUGGAGAAACCCACUGCAGGAAUUCAGACAAGGCGUAACGGUAGUCUGCUCCACGGGUGGCUCUGGAGAUGGGGAAGCGUGCUCACAUUCUGACAUGUCUUGGAGACAGAGCCCUUGAGAUGUGCCGGUGGAAUGGACGUGGGGCUUGAGAAGAAGGGAAAGUCCGUCAUGAUGGCAAAGAUUUUAGCGUGCCUGACUAGGGGGAGUUGUCACCAGCUGAGCUGGGGAGUCUGCAGGGGGAGAGGCUUUGGUGCAGAAGGAAGUUGGAAGUUCAGCUUUGAACAGGUUGAAUUUGAGACAAUAAGACACCCAAACAGAGAUGCUAUUUGGUGGCGUGUCCUGAUCUGAUAGUGGAAGACCAUGAUCUGAGCUGGAGAUAGAGCUGAAGUCUUUGGCUUGCGGUUGGUGUUUAAAGGAAUGAACUCAGGUGAGAUCUAGUGAGAGAAGAGUUUUCAGGAUCAGGUCCUGGGGUAUUCUGGGUUUUUGGGGAGCAAGAGAGCCAGUGAAGGAGACCAAGGGAAGCCACUGGGGGGGGGGCGGGGGUGUCAAGAGCGAGGUGUCUCAGGGAUCAUUUCCAAAGGCGGGACAGAUGAUCCAGUGUGUGGAUGGGCCAGGGGAGGUGGGGACCGAGACGUGACUCUUGGAUCAGUGCCCUGCUGGUCAUGGGUGGCUUUGGUAAAACAGCAAAAUAGUGUGUGAUUCUGGCCCAGGUGGAGUGGGCUUGGAGGGAGGAAUCGGAGAGAUGGCUGAUGAGCGUUCUAAGAAGCUUUGCUGCAAAGGGAGCAGGCUGUGGGGUGGUAUCUGGUGGGAUAGGUCAGGCCAAGAGAAGUAAUUUUUAGUGGAAAGCAUCGGCAUUAUGUUUAUAUCCUGAUGGGAAUGAUUCAGUGGAGCAUAAAAAAUUGAUCAUGUAGGACGGGAGGCUACUGGGCCAUUUCUGGAGCAGGCAAGAACAUGCAUUUGGGUGCAAGUGGAGUUGUUUGUUUCCAAAGCAGCACCGAUGGUUCCUGGUGGGGACCAAAAAUAAAUGACAGAGACGUGGAUGCCCAGGUGGCCUCCAGCAAAAGUCCCUUUCUUCUGAUUGCUUCUAUUUUCGUUGUGAAGUAGGAAGCAAAGCCACCAGUGGAGGGUGCCAUGGUGGAAGAGGGCUUGUGACUUUGGAGAGACAAAGUGGGGAGUGAGGAGUCCUCUAGAGAGCGGGAGGUGCAGAGUGAUGGUAGUAAGAGCCCACCCACAGCUCAUGGCCACAGACUGAAAGACCCCAUCAGGGUGAUUGUGCUUUUCUAGACAGCUCAGCUGGGGAGUUGAAGGCACACACACAACAGCUCAAGAACUGAAUUAUCCUUUGGCUGAAUGGAGAGGGGCGAAAGCAGAGGGCGGCCCAAGUGACAGCAUCUUCGGGAGAGAGGUGACCUCGAUUAUGUGGAAAUUAACGCGGUGACCUGAGGACAGAGGAUGUCCACUGGGGAGGCAGUUGGGCUGGGCGAUGGAUGGAUGGAAUGGAGCUGGAGGUGCAGGAGAAGGGCCAGUGCUGUCUUGGCUGGGGAUGCUGGAGGAAGGGGUGGGGGAGACAGAGGCCUGGACCUGGGGAUAUGGGGCUUUUUUGGGAACCUGAAUCCCAGCCUUCUUUCUCCAAGGCUCAGGUCCGCAUCACCCUGCCUGCCUUGCCUUUUCACUGCCUGCUCUUUAUUUCUUAUUUAAAAAAAAAUUUUUUUAGGGCUGCACCUGCAGCAUAUGGAAAGUCCCAGGCCAGGGGCGGAAUCCAAGCCGCAGUUGCAACCUAUGCUGCAGGUGCAGCAACACCAGAUCCUUACCCACUGUGCCAGGCCUGGGAUUGAACCCCAGCCUUCCCCGCCACCGAGCCACUGCAGUCAGAUUCUCAGCCCACUGCCUGCACUUUAAAAGGGCCUCCUUAAGAACUCUUAUUGAAUCCGUACCCUAUCCCAGUACUACCAAAAUACCUUCCUGUCAUUCCAGGAGUGUGUUGCUAAUUUAUUACUGACAUGUCUUUGCUGAGACAGAGGGAGGUCUGCAGCUGGCUCAUCGAUGCCGUGAGGAAAGAGGACCUGUGACAGUUGACAUUGAAGCUGCUGCUCCUCUUCUUCACAGGCCUUGGACACCAAGUGUGUCUGUGUAUUUGUGUGGGUGCACGCAUGCGUGCGUGUGUGUGUGUGUGUGUGCACGUGAGCGUGCCUGCGCCUGUCUGCAUGAGUGGGUGUUUUGCCUCAAUUUAAUGUUUAGGGUUUUUGCAUCUUUCUUUGCAGAAUACGGGUGGUCCAGAGAUAUAUAGAGUUUCCCCAGGUAUGAGGAAAACACGAAAGCACCCUGGAAAAAAUGCACUGCAAGGCCAAGCGGAGCUGUGCAUUCUUUCCCGAAUCUGCCCACACCCACCUCCGAGGACGUUCUGUUUGGGAAUCUGUCUCCAGCAAAUUCCGAGAACUGAAACAGCUUCAUAAUCACAAACGAUUCAUGUUGAAGCAGCCAAAAUACCAGAAAUUGACAUUCCAGCACAGGCAAAGAUAUUUUUAAAUGUUUAGGAUUUAUAAAGAGAAACAGCCUUCGUAGAACAUAAACCACCCCCGGUUCACACUUGUGUGAUAGAGGCAGCUAAAUCUGAAAGAUAAGUUUCUUUCUUUCUUUCUUUCCCCAAGUGAAGAAUGUCAUGGGUGAGAAAAGAAGUCUGCUGUGAAGAAACUUUAACUGGGCCUUGGCUUUGGUUCAGGACUGGGACUGGGCGGCCUUCGGAGAGCUGCAGCCGGCGAGGCUGCACUCAGCCCUGCUCUUGGCUAGUGAAGCUUUAAGGCAAAGGUCAUCUAAAACUCUAACUAGAAUCGAAAAUAUCAAUACCCUGCUUGAGAUCUCAUGGUCUCAGAACGGCUGAGCUGGUGUCCCGAGCAGUAUUUUUAGAAACAGAAACGCUUAAGGAUGCUGUUCGGAGAUGCUCUGGUCCAAGGUCUUAUGAACACAAAUCACAACCACCACCUUUUCCACGCUCAUCUCAGUUGUAGUUUCUUUGUGGGUUUUUGUUGUUGUUGUUGCUGUCGUCGGGUUGUUGUUGUUUGUUUUCGGAGCUAUAUGUGCUGUCUUCUGGGCGAUGCUGUCCAGUCAGUGCUUCCUGGGUGAGUCUCCGUAAGUGUUCUUGGUGUUUCUACUUCUCAGACUCCAGCAGUGGAGGUGGGGACCGCUGGUCGCAGAGAAACUGGACAGUGGGUUUCUCUGGGCGGGCCAAGCGGCAGACACCUAACGAGCACCUGUUGGGUGCAAGGUCAUGUGCUUGGGAAGGAUGGAAGGGGAGACUCGGGGUGUGAUUCUGCUCACAGGGUGCGACUCUGCUCUCUGUUUUCCUUGGACUCUAAUGUCAACGAGCAGAAUAUAUGGAAUUCCAGUUCCCCAAACUCGAGCCCAGGACAGAGCAGAGCUGAGACUGUGAGAAACAGGCCCUGAGGACCAGAUGUCCUCCCAGCUGGGACGUGAUGGAGUGGAGGAGGGAAAGGGACAGACGUGGGGCCGCGUCCGGGGCCACUCAGAUUGGGUUCCACUGUCCUGUGGCGGGUGGGGAACCGUUACGGUUUGUGAAGAGUAGUGACAGGAUUUUUUGAAACAGGGAUUAGGACAGAUGCAUUGGGCACUGUUGUGCUUCGAAUGCAAAGACAAGACUGAAGGUAGGAAACACCCUCCAAAGGGAAAGUUUGAUCAUGUGGCUGAACAAAAAUUAAUGGGAUUCCCCCCGCCCCCGAUUUAAACAAUGCAGUACUUUUUGGGAUUAUUCUCCAAGGCCUAACAACAGCACCUCGUGAACACAUGCAAACGCAUUUACCAAAGAAAUAUCGUGCCUUCUGUUGUACUUAUUACUUUAGUUACAUUUAACUUUGCUUGAUUAAUAUCAGGGAGAAAGCCGUUGGUAUCUGGUUGUAUCGUUUAUUAUAAAUUGGAUCACGUAGUUGAAUUAGCUCAGUUUCAUUUUAAUCCUGACUUUACUUAUUUCAUUACUGAUUUUAUGACUGUAUUGCAUAAUUUAUUUAUCAAUGUUUUAAAAAGUAUCUCUAUCUACCAACAUCUUUACUUGAAUAUAAAAGGAAACUAAAACCUUUUCUAAUAAAAAGGAAUUCUGAUUGGCUCAUAGGUUUGACACUGCAAACUGUCUUGUCUCUUAAAUUAUCGGAAGGAUCUAAACAUGCAAAAAUUAUGGGCAUACAUAAUUGAGACAUGGUUAUAAUAAAUUCUCACAUGAAGGCAUCCUCUAUGGAAAGGUGCAUGGAAAUGACUCCAUGUAUUUUCAGAUGCUUUCUGAGCACAUCGGUUUGAACAAGGUGCACAGCUAAGCAAGCUCCAGUCAGUCCAGCCCUUUGACGUGAUUCUUGGGACGUGGGGCUUGAGUGACCCGUGUCCUGGUGACUUCCCUGCUUCAGAUCAGGCGGUGCCCAGAGGUGUUCUUUCCUUGGAAGACCCGCUGAUUAAAGUUGAUGGCUGAUCAUCGACACUAGUUUUUAUUUUAUGACCACGUCACUUUUGGUACGGAUGCGAAGACCUGCCAAGAACUGAGUUCCAUUUGUCUGAAACAGCAUCUCUUCUCAACAGUGGACUUGUGUGACCAAGGAGGCAAGUCACUACCUCUUUAAAAAAGAAAAGUCAGAACAAAACUGAUCUUAAACUGGGUCUUAUUCUAACCAUACGUGAUAUUUAUCCGUGGAUACACAGGCUUCAGGAGAAAAAAAUCUAAACAGAAUUUUUUUUUUUACUUUGAGAAUUACUAGCUACUUCUGUUAAUCCCUUAUCUUUCAGCUUUAUUGGUAUCUAAUGAUUAAAUAAAAUUAUAUUUAAAAUAGACAGUAAUGAUUUGAUAUAUAUGUGCAUUGGGAAAGGAUUUCUGCAAUCCAAUUAAUUAUUAUGUCCGUUACCUUACGUAUUUACCUUUUUUUUGGGGUGAGAACACAUAAGUUGCAUUUUCUUAGCAAAUUUGUGCGGUGUUGUCCGUGACAGCCGCCCUGCUGUGCUUGAGGUCCUCAGACCUCAUUCAUCUUGUCACUGAAAGUUUACAUCCUCUCACCAAGCCACUCCCUGGUCCCCCCACCCCCCUGCCUCUGGGAGUCACCAUUUUUUUCUCUGUUUCUACAAGUUGUACGUCUUUUUUUUAGAUUCCACAGUAAAUUAUACCAUGUGGUCUUUUUUCUCUGUCCGGCUUAUUCCACCUGCAUGAUCCCUCCAGGCUCCUCCAUGUGGUUGGGGAGGACAGGACUCCCUCUUUUUGUUUUAAGGCUCAAUAAUAAUCCCUCUUUUUUCUAAGGCUGAAGAAUAUGCACUUUAUCCAUCCGUCUGUCCACAGACGCUCAGGUUUUUCCACCCCUUGGCAACUGUGACUAGAGCCGCAGUGAACACAGUGUAGCUCCCUCUUUGCUGCCAUGAUUCUGUCUCCAGAAGCAGGAUGGCUGAACUGCAGGGUAGGUCUAGUCCUAAUAUUUUGAGGCGUCUCCAUACUGUUUUCCGUAGUGGCUGUGCCGGUUUUCAUUCCGUCAUCUGUGCCCAAGGGUUCCCUCUUCUCCACUUUUCUUCCCUUCUCUUGCCAGCUUUUGCUAGUCCUUGUCUUUGGGCAAUAGACAUCCUAACAGAUGAGAGGUGACACUGUGGUUUGGAUUUGUUUCCCUGUUGAGUAGAAUGUUGGGCACCUCUUCACGUACCUGUUGGCCAUUUGUGUGUCUUCUUUGGAAAAAUGUCUAAGUCCUUU
Molecule: long non-coding RNA, 7067 nt
Filed under: Sus scrofa (pig)
Lineage: Eukaryota; Metazoa; Chordata; Mammalia; Artiodactyla; Suidae
Description: lncRNA (ENSSSCG00000042534.2)
Source: RNAcentral